Molecule: ribosomal RNA, 461 nt
Filed under: uncultured bacterium
Lineage: Bacteria
Description: partial 16S ribosomal RNA
Rfam family: Bacterial small subunit ribosomal RNA
Source: RNAcentral
CCUACGGGUGGCAGCAGUGAGGAAUAUUGGUCAAUGGGCUUACGCCUGAACCAGCCAAGUCGCGUGAGGGAAGACUGCCCUAUGGGUUGUAAACCUCUUUUGUCAGGGAGCAACGCCGGCUACGUGUAGCCGGACUGAGAGUACCUGAAGAAAAAGCCUCGGCUAACUCCGUGCCAGCAGCCGCGGUAAUACGGAGGAUGCGAGCGUUAUCCGGAUUUACUGGGUGUAAAGGGCGUGCAGCCGGAGAGACAAGACAGAUGUGAAAUCCACGGGCUCAACCCGUGAACUGCAUUUGAAACUGUUGCCCUUGAGUGUCGGAGAGGUAAUCGGAAUUCCUAGUGUAGCGGUGAAAUGCGUAGAUAUUAGGAAGAACACCAGUGGCGAAGGCGGAUUACUGGACGAUAACUGACGGUGAGGCGCGAAAGCGUGGGGAGCAAACAGGAUUAGAUACCCCAGUAGUC